Long non-coding RNA from Gossypium arboreum, 585 nucleotides. RefSeq lists it as uncharacterized. The record is from RefSeq and is a predicted model, not a curated record. NCBI's taxonomy places the organism in Eukaryota, Viridiplantae, Streptophyta, Magnoliopsida, Malvales, Malvaceae. The transcript is spliced from 3 exons.
AGAAUCUUGAAGAUCGUUUCAGUGGACUAUCUCUAAUCUUUAGCAAGAGAUUACUUGAUGCACAAGUCUGUGUCACUUUUGCAUAUUAAGGAUCCCUUGUUUAAAAGAAUUGCAGCUUCUAGAUUAGCCCGGUUUGCAAUCGAUGGUAUCGUUUUUGGCAUGUGCAUAUUAAGCUUUUUGCUUUUACGAUAUUUGGUGGAGCUCAAGAGCUGUUGAAUGUAUUGGUAUAUGCUAAAGAUGAACUCACACUGAAAGAGGCUUUGAAAGCUCUUAACGCACUCUCAAAAUCAGUUAAAGCAUUACGUAAUGCCGGGGCGAUUCGGUUAUAAUGUCUAUCCCGGACACCUUUGUCGAUGCCGAAAUUGGGACAUACAAAGCCGAGUUGCUGAAGAGAUUUUGAGAUUCGGGAUACGAAAUUUCGUCCUGAUAAGUUCUUAAGCCAUUGAUUUUUGGGGUUGGUUUUAUCUUUCUGGUAGUUGUAGAGUUCAAAAUUGCACACUCGUGGCAUUGUCUUUGUUUCCUUUUCAUAUUCACACAAGUCUCAAGUAAUAGACUUUGUGGUGUGGUUUUCUAUUUUAAUGAAAA